UCAGGCCUAACACAUGCAAGUCGAGCGAUGAAGCACCUUCGGGUGUGGAUUAGCGGCGAACGGGUGAGGAACACGUGAGGAAUCUGCCUUCCACUCUGGGAUAACUCCGGGAAACCGGGGCUAAUACCGGAUACUUUCAACUGGCGGCAUCGCCGGUUGAAGAAAGUUUUUCGGUGGAAGAUGACCUCGCGGCCUAUCAGCUUGUUGGUGAGGUAAUGGCUCACCAAGGCGACGACGGGUAGCCGGCCUGAGAGGGCGACCGGCCACACUGGGACUGAGACACGGCCCAGACUCCUACGGGAGGCAGCAGUGGGGAAUAUUGGGCAAGGGAGGAAACUCUGACCCAGCGACGCCGCGUGAGGGAUAAAGGCCUUCGGGUUGUAAACCUCUUCAGCAGGGAAUAAGCGAAAGGAA
RNAcentral lists this ribosomal RNA (414 nucleotides) under uncultured bacterium. RNAcentral describes it as "bacterial SSU rRNA". It matches the Rfam family "Bacterial small subunit ribosomal RNA", at positions 42 to 458 of the family's 1533-position model. The record is from RNAcentral.